GAUGAACGCUGGCGGCGUGCCUAAUACAUGCAAGUCGAGCGAACAGACGAGGAGCUUGCUCCUUUGACGUUAGCGGCGGACGGGUGAGUAACACGUAGGUAACCUACCUAUAAGACUGGGAUAACUUCGGGAAACCGGAGCUAAUACCGGAUAAUAUUUCGAACCGCAUGGUUCGAUAGUGAAAGAUGGCUUUGCUAUCACUUAUAGAUGGACCUGCGCCGUAUUAGCUAGUUGGUAAGGUAACGGCUUACCAAGGCAACGAUACGUAGCCGACCCGAGAGGGUGAUCGGCCAGACGGGAACUGAGACACGGUCCAGACUCCUACGGGAGGCAGCAGUAGGGAAUCCUCCGCAAUGGGGGAAAGCCUGACGGAGCAACGCCGCGGGAGUGAUGAAGGUCCUCGGAUCGUAAAACUCUGUUAUUAGGGAAGAACAAACGUGUAAGUAACUGUGAACGUCUUGACGGUACCUAAUCAGAAAGCCACGGCUAACUACGUG
RNAcentral lists this ribosomal RNA (497 nucleotides) under uncultured bacterium. RNAcentral describes it as "partial 16S ribosomal RNA". It matches the Rfam family "Bacterial small subunit ribosomal RNA", at positions 28 to 507 of the family's 1533-position model. The record is from RNAcentral.